GGGGUUUAGCUACAGGCAUGGAUUCAGUGGCUUCUCGGCUCGACUAACAGAAGAACAAGCUGCUAGAAUCUCUGGCCUCCCCAACGUGUUGUCCGUUUUUCCCAAUGAAAUCCACACGGUCCAUACCACAAACUCAUGGGAGUUUCUCGGCCUCUAUUGGAAAGAACUCUUUCUUUGGAAGCUACUGAAUCAUCGUGGCUAUGGAAGGAAGCAAAAUAUUGCAAAGACGUUAUCAUUGGUGUUUUAGAUUCAGGUAUUUCCCUCUUUGAACUAUCUUUUGGGGAUUGGUCCCAUACCAUGAUCGGAAAAGCUUUCCGACUCUGGCCAUAGUCCUGGAAAAACCCAACGUGAUAAAAAAAGGAGCGGAAAGGAACUUGGGAGAAAUUCAACACUUCUCACUGCAACAAGUAAUUCAAGAAUCACAUAGUAUGCUAAACAUUUGUCUUUCAGGAAACUUAUCGGUGCCAGAUUCUUUUCCCACGGCCUCCAAGAUGGUCCCAAGGCUUAUGCAAAAGCACACCAAGAACUUCUUUCUCCAAGAGAUGUUGAAGGGCACCGAUUCGUAAAAAACACAACUGGCUUGGCCACGCAAAAGGUACUGCAAAGGGUGGCGCUCCACGCCUCGCAAUCUAUAAGAUGUGCUGGAGAAACAUUACGGACAGCAUAGUGCGGUGCCCGGGGUUCUCAUACUCUCAGCGCCUUUGAUAUGGGAAUCCACAAUGGCGUGGAUAUCUUUUGUGCGUCGAUCGAUGGACAGCAGCCACUGUCGAUUGGUGCGUUCCAUGACAUGCAGAAAGGCAUUGUGGUGGUGUCUUCGGCUGGAUAUUUGGGUCCUCGCUCGGUGCAAAAUGUAGCCCCUUGGGUUAUCGCUGUUGGAGCGAGCACUAUUGAUCAAACCUAUUUUGGAGACCUUUAUCUUGGCAACAAUAAAUCAUUUCGAGUA
This is a long non-coding RNA of Selaginella moellendorffii, 943 nucleotides long. RefSeq lists it as uncharacterized. The record is from RefSeq and is a predicted model, not a curated record. Lineage: Eukaryota; Viridiplantae; Streptophyta; Lycopodiopsida; Selaginellales; Selaginellaceae. The transcript has 2 exons.